GACGAACGCUGGCGGCGUGCUUAACAUAUGCAAGUCCAACGGAAAGUCCCUGCUUUUUUCGGGUGCUCGAGUGGCGAACGGGUGAGUCACACGUGAGUAACCUGCCCUUGACUUUUGGAUAACUCCAGGAAACUGGGGCUACUACCUGGUAGGAGCUCCUGCUGCAUGGUGGGGGUUGGAAAGUUUCGGCGGCAGGUGAUGGACUCGCGGCUUAGCAGCGUGUUGGUGGGGUAGUGGCUUACCAAGCCUUGGACGGGUAGACGGCCUGAGAGGGAGACCGGCCACAUUGGGUAGGAGAUACGGCUGAGAGUACUACGGGAGGCAGCAGUGAGGAAUAUUGAACAACGGGCGGAAGAAUGAUGCAGCAACGCCGCGUGCGAGAUGACGGCCGUCGGGCUGUAAACCGCUUUCGAGUGCGACGAAGGGUGAGUGAGGGUAAUGAGUAAAGAAGCACAGGCUAACUACG
This 466-nucleotide ribosomal RNA is filed under the name uncultured bacterium. RNAcentral's name for it is "partial 16S ribosomal RNA". It matches the Rfam family "Bacterial small subunit ribosomal RNA", at positions 28 to 505 of the family's 1533-position model. The record is from RNAcentral.